Molecule: ribosomal RNA, 380 nt
Filed under: Escherichia coli
Lineage: Bacteria; Pseudomonadati; Pseudomonadota; Gammaproteobacteria; Enterobacterales; Enterobacteriaceae
Description: bacterial SSU rRNA
Rfam family: Bacterial small subunit ribosomal RNA
Source: RNAcentral
CCUUUCACCCUUUUCUUUUUUUUUGCUUGACGAGUGGCGGACGGGUGAGUAAUGUCUGGGAAACUGCCUGAUGGAGGGGGAUAACUACUGGAAACGGUAGCUAAUACCGCAUAACGUCGCAAGACCAAAGAGGGGGACCUUCGGGCCUCUUGCCAUCGGAUGUGCCCAGAUGGGAUUAGCUAGUAGGUGGGGUAACGGCUCACCUAGGCGACGAUCCCUAGCUGGUCUGAGAGGAUGACCAGCCACACUGGAACUGAGACACGGUCCAGACUCCUACGGGAGGCAGCAGUGGGGAAUAUUGCACAAUGGGCGCAAGCCUGAUGCAGCCAUGCCGCGUGUAUGAAGAAGGCCUUCGGGUUGUAAAGUACUUUCAGCGGGGA